UCAGGCGGCUGGACGGUCGCGGUCACAAGUCCGGAAACGGCGUGAUCGAGGAAAGUCCGGGCUCCAUGGAAACAAGGUGCCGGGUAGCGCCCGGCGGGGGUGACCCCAGGGAAAGCGCAGCAGAGAGCAGACCGCCCUUCGACGUUUCGGCUGAGGAGGGUAAGGGUGAAAGGGUGCGGUAAGAGCGCACCGCCCCGACCGUAAGGAAGGGGGCACGGCAAGCCCCACCUGGAGCAAGACCGAAUAGGGAUGAGGGCAGCCUUGAGCUGCACGCGUGUUUCCACGUGUCAUCCGGGUAGGUCGCACCAGCUGUGUCGCAAGGCGCAGCGCAGAUGAAUGAUCGUCGCCCCGAGAGGGGAACAGAACCCGGCUUACAGGUCGCCUGACUAU
This 390-nucleotide RNase P RNA is filed under the name Maricaulis sp. RNAcentral's name for it is "RNase P RNA component class A". It matches the Rfam family "Bacterial RNase P class A". Rfam says of the family: Ribonuclease P (RNase P) is a ubiquitous endoribonuclease, found in archaea, bacteria and eukarya as well as chloroplasts and mitochondria. Its best characterised activity is the generation of mature 5'-ends of tRNAs by cleaving the 5'-leader elements of precursor-tRNAs. The record is from RNAcentral. Lineage: Bacteria; Pseudomonadati; Pseudomonadota; Alphaproteobacteria; Maricaulales; Maricaulaceae.